CAUAUCGUUACUAUUUUUAGACAAUAGUUAGCAUCACACCCAACAUGGCUUUUGGAAUUCUGUUAUUUAUUUGUUGCGUUUCCUUUCAUCUCUUCAGGAAGUUCAAGUGAGAGAAAGUCACGCUUCAGUUAAAAUCAUGGCCUCCGUUGCCAAUGUUAGAUUGCAAAGGAUUUGAAACGAGGAUUGGGCGAAACCAAAAAACAAAAUAAUGAAAAGUUAAGCCUGAGGAUGGCAGACAAGUUUCUGUCUUUCAACCACAACAACAUCAAAUGUAAACGAAAAACGACACAUCAAAAAGCAGUAAGAAAUGGGCUGAAGUGUGACGAGUGACGUCACAGACUAGUUUCCUGGCAUGCGCAGAGGACGGUGGAGUCGGUAUGGUAAUUUUGCUACACAGAGUUGUAUAAAAGAGGGCGCAAAACAAGUCACCAGUCUCAACACUGAAAAGUGAGAAAAUAUCGUCUGCCGAACCUGACGCGUAAAUCGACGACAUUUUCCUUUUACUUCAGCUCUAGGCUGGGAUGGAUCGUCCGAAGAAAGAGCCGGAGGAGAACACUGAUGACGAGGAAGAAAACGUGCAAGGGGCUAUAUACAAUGAAGAGAUACCAAUAUUAGUGUUGGUUACUUUUGUAUUGGUGUUAAUCCUUCUGCACUAAGAAAGGAUGCCAAGAGUAUACAAUUAGAUACCUUCACUGGAAAAAUACAUUUACUGUUUUAAAAUGUUUUGUUGCAAAUUCUUAAUGUUUCCUUCCUUUAUUGAAAAUGUAAAUUCCUUUGUUUGCAAGGGAUCGAUGUUGUAAUGUUAAUGAACUAGGAUAAAACAAUAGGACAAUAGGGAACUUGAUUAAGUGCAAAGGUUACAUAAGAUAACACAUGUCCCAGAGCAGAACUUUAAGUAGACAAGUUGCAUGCAUUUUUGUCAGUUGUAGCUUUAGGAUUUAGCUGUGUAUCUUAAAGUUUGGUCAGCCAAUUUAAAUCCACAGUGUAGUGAUGUUAUUCCGUGCUUAGACACAACAAUUGAGCUUUAAUAACUAGAACCCAGAUAAGGUUGUGUCUGGACAAAUUUAUUGGCUAAAAAUUAAAUCUUGUAUAAUUAAUUAUUAGUGAUUUUAAAUUUUUUAAGCUGUAGCUAAGGCCCUAUUGCCAAUUUACUGUACAUUAUGUACUUUUAAUAAACUAAUAUGGCUUAGCCUUCGAGAAAUGUCUCCUGAGUCUCAUGCUCUGUAAUAUAUAGUUGAUGAAAUGCUUUUUAGUUGUUAUUAUGACCUGCAAAACGCUUUGAUGCAAUGCUUAUGUACUUCAUACUCUAGAAAACAAUCAUAGAACAGAAAAAAAGCAGUUGCCCUUGUAGAAGACACAGGGGCCCUUUGCUGGGUUAUUGUGUUGUGUUCUUUAGCCAGAAACUUUACUCUCACAAUAAACUCUCUUCAUCCAGGAGUAGAAAUGGAAACUGGUGAACUGUUAAACCUUAAAUUCCUGUGA
Molecule: non-coding RNA, 1482 nt
Organism: Pocillopora verrucosa
Lineage: Eukaryota; Metazoa; Cnidaria; Anthozoa; Scleractinia; Pocilloporidae
Source: RefSeq, a predicted model, not a curated record